This 253-nucleotide ribosomal RNA is filed under the name uncultured bacterium. Its description in RNAcentral is "partial 16S ribosomal RNA". It matches the Rfam family "Bacterial small subunit ribosomal RNA", at positions 524 to 776 of the family's 1533-position model. The record is from RNAcentral.
UACGGAGGGGGCUAGCGUUGUUCGGAAUUACUGGGCGUAAAGCGCACGUAGGCGGCGCUGAAAGUCAGGUGUGAAAUCCCGGGGCUUAACUCCGGAACCGCACUUGAAACUACAGUGCUAGAAUCCAACAGAGGAUGGUAGAAUUCCUAGUGUAGAGGUGAAAUUCGUAGAUAUUAGGAGGAAUACCGGUGGCGAAGGCGGCCAUCUGGGUUGGUAUUGACGCUAAGGUGCGAAAGCGUGGGGAGCAAACAGG